RNAcentral lists this ribosomal RNA (206 nucleotides) under uncultured bacterium. RNAcentral describes it as "partial 16S ribosomal RNA". It matches the Rfam family "Bacterial small subunit ribosomal RNA", at positions 310 to 524 of the family's 1533-position model. The record is from RNAcentral.
ACUCCUACGGGAGGCAGCAGUAGGUACUCCUACGGGAGGCAGCAGUGGGGAAUAUUGGACAAUGGGCGCAAGCCUGAAUCCAGCCUCCNGCCAUGCCGCGUGAGUGAUGAAGGCCCUAGGGUCGUAAAGCUCUUUCAACCGGUGAAGAUAAUGACGGUAACCGGANAANAAGCCCCGGCUAACUUCNUGCCAGCAGCCGCGGUAAU